GGUGAAAAGAACCCCGGGAGGGGAGUGAAAAAGAACAUGAAACCGUGAGCUUACAAGCAGUGGGAGUCCGAUUAAACGGAUGACCGCGUGCCUGUUGAAGAAUGAGCCGGCGACUUAUAGGUACUGGUAGGUUAAAGCGGGAAUGCUGGAGCCAAAGGGAAACCGAGUCUGAAAAGGGCGCUAAUCAGUAUUUAUAGACCCGAACCCUGGUGAUCUAACCAUGGCCAGGAUGAAGCUUGGGUAAAACCAAGUGGAGGUCCGAACCGACCGAUGUUGAAAAAUCGGCGGAUGAGCGGUGGUUAGGGGUGAAAUGCCAAUCGAACCAGGAGCUAGCUGGUUCUCCCCGAAAUGUGUUGAGGCG
RNAcentral lists this ribosomal RNA (361 nucleotides) under Cylindrospermopsis raciborskii C04. Its description in RNAcentral is "bacterial LSU rRNA". It matches the Rfam family "Bacterial large subunit ribosomal RNA", at positions 513 to 876 of the family's 2925-position model. The record is from RNAcentral. Lineage: Bacteria; Bacillati; Cyanobacteriota; Cyanophyceae; Nostocales; Aphanizomenonaceae.